UUCUCGAAGUCCCUCACAAUAUUUUUCUAAAUAAAAUUUAUCAUUUUAAUUUCAAACAAAUUUUACUUAGCUGUAAUAUAAAUUCAAAGACCUCUAAUAAGAAGGAUCUUCCUACUCAUUAGAAAAGUACAAUAUGCAUUAGGUGUCUAAGGAUAUUUGAGUAUAAACAAAACAAAUGAAAAUGAAGUGGCCAAUUAGAGUAAUUCUUAUAGUAGUAGAAACAACUUAGUAUUUUACAUUCUCACUGAAACUUUCUGUAAGAUUAUCUCCUCUGACUAAACAACCAACAAUUUGAUAUCUUAAUAUAUUUGGGGAAGGCUUCAUGAUUGUUCUGGAAAGAUUACACAAUCAAAAGACUUCAGUUGAAUUUAACUUCAGAGAAUCCACCUUCCUCAUUUUAACUAAGAACAGUAAUACUGAUCAGCAUACAUUAUAGGCUUGGUGCCAAGAGGCAGCUAAAUACGUCUUUAAAAAAUAUUUUGAAAACUGUGAAUUGAUACACAAAUAUGACCAAUCAGUCUAAAGGCAGCAUAUGCUUGGUUAACAGCAUAGAUUCUGAAGAAAGUUUCAAAAGUUUGAACAAUUAAGAUGCUAGUAUUGCUCCACAGUAAUUUUGACAGUAGUACUAUAUAUUAAAAAUCUAUCCAGGAGUGACGGCUCAUGCCUGUAAUCCCAGCACUUUGGGAGGACGAGGCAGGCAGAUCACUUGAGGUCAGAAGUUCGAGACCAGCUUGGCCAACAUGGUGAAACCCCAUCUCUAAUAAAAAUACAAAAAUUAGCUGGUUGUGGUGGUGCACACCUGUAAUUCCAGCUACUUGGGAGGCUGAGGCAGGAGAAUCUCUUGAGCCCAGGAGGCAGAGGUUGCAGUGAGUCAAGAUCAAGCCACUGCACUCCAGGUUGGGUGACAGAGUGAGAGUCUCUCGAAAAAAAAAAAAAAAGAAAGGAAGAAAAAUAAAAAGAAAACCAUUAGUAACAGUUACUGCAAUGUUAUUUUUACAUCUUUGCAUGUAGCCUCACCAUACUCCUUUGAGUAGAUUUUAUAUUUCUACUUCUAAAAAUAAGGAAACUAAUGCUUAUAAAUGAUAGACAUCAGACUAACUGCCAUUUAUCUGGGCUGCUUUGGGUAAAUUUCGUAUCAUUUACAAGUUGAACAAACAAAACAAAAACUUGGAGUGCAUGUUAGCUUCUGACUCUGUGGAGGGUUGGGACUGCUGCCUACUGGCACAGGAUGCCAGACACUCUGGAGAAGAGCCUCAGAAGAUCAUAAUAACCCAAACUGAAGGCGUGCUAUAAUAAGAUUUGAAAGUGGCAGCUAAUGAUUCAUGGAUCACAUGCCAGCAUAUCUGUCACUUCAGAUACCACUGUCUGCAUUACAAAGGAAGCUAGGCAACCUGUUCAAAAGCACUGUUUUUUGGUUUUUUGUUUUGUUUUGUUUUUAGAAAUGGAGUUUCGCUCUUGUUACCCAGGCUGGAGUGCAAUGGCGCGAUCUCGGCUCACCGCAACCUCCGCCUCCUGGGUUCAGGCAAUUCUCCUGCCUCAGCCUCUUGAGUAGCUGGGAUUACAGGCACGUGCCACCAUGCCCAGCUAAUUUUUUGUAUAUUUAGUAGAGACAGGGUUUCACCAUGUUGACCAGGAUGGUCUCGAUCUCUUGACCUCGUGAUCCACCCACCUUGGCCUCCCAAAGUGCUGGGACUACAGGCUUGAGCCACCACGCCCAGACGAAAUGCACUGUUUUAAUCAAAAAGUUCUCAGCUACUUACAAAGACUACAUUUAAAGGAACGAAAGGUUUAGUGGAGGUGAGACAAUAAAAACAUCAGAGGUCACACCUCCAAUAAAAAUAAAAACAGAGAAAAGCAAUAGAAAGACAGCUCCGUAGUCUGGAGGGCAAGUCAAAGAUGAAUUUGAGGAAAAAGAAGAUACGUUGAUAAUAGAUUAAGAGGAUGUGGUAGAGGAAGCUAUUAACAUGCCUAAACCAUAUAAACUGAAUAAAUUGAACAAAUGGAGAGAAGGGAGCUUUGAAAAUAUUAUAGACUUUCCCUAAAACUGUAAAACAGGAAUUACUUUUAAUAUAGUUAGCUAUCAUUAGGAUACUUAAUUUAUACCUAAUUGUUUAACUCAUUCUAAGGUAGAUAACUGAGUUUAUGCUGGAAGGUUUCAUUAAGAAUUAUUUGUAAAAGCAUUUUUAUAGUAGAAUUGUGGUGGGCACAGAAUGCUGGAAUCAGAAUUGAAACAAUCAUUUUCCCAGCCAUCAGCCUAGAGAUUCUAUGCUCAGGACGUUGAGACACUGACUUUGGCUGAAGGAAGCUGUCUCACCCAAGAUCACGGAAGUGUAGCCCACAUCCAGUAAUGCUGGAUUUAGGGUAAAAAGGCCCAACCCUUUUUACCUUAAUUAGGGACAAUCCUAAAGAACUAUCCCAGCUUCAGAGCUUGCAGUGGAGUGAAUGGAUUAGGCUUCAACCUCUCGAUCUUCUCAAUUCAGCUUCCUUCCUUCCCUUAAGAAAGUUCCCCAAGAGCACCCCCCAAACAGUGCCCCUACUUUCAAAUUUCCACAUCAGUGCCUCUCUUUCAGAUCUAAAAUCUAUGAGGUGGUCAAAGUUGUCCCGAAUAGUUUACUGGUUACAUUUUGAACCCUGAAGUUAGAAUAAUCUGCCUUCAAAUAUCAGUUUCUCAUAAUUUGUGUGAUCUCAGGCAACAUCUUCAUUAGAAAAUGGAGAGAACUGCCGGGCGCGGUGGCUCAAGCCUGUAAUCCCAGCACUUUGGGAGGCUGAGGUGGGUGGAUCAUGAGGUCAAGAGAUCGAGACCUUCCUGGUCAACAUGGUGAAACCCCGUCUCUACUAAAGAUACAAAAAAUUAGCUGGGCAUGGUGGUGCAUGCCUGUAAUCCCAGCUGCUCGGGAGGCUAGGGCAAGAGAAUUGCCUGAACCCAGGAGGUGUAGACUGCAGUGAGCCGAGAUCGUGCCAUUGCACUCCAGCCUGGGUCACAAGAGGGAAACUCUGUCUCAAAAAAAAAAGAAAAGAAAAUGGAGAGAGCAAUGACCCCUAUCUAUAACGUUGAAAAGAUAAAAUAGCAUAUGUUUUUAUCAUAUAAAUGCUCAGUUAAUAUUCAAUUAAUGUCAUCUAAUUAUAUAGCUAAUGUUAUCAUCUAUGAUAACAUUAAAUCCCCAUUUAAAUCCCCAUUUAAAAAAAAAAGAAAGAAAGAAGCUACCCAGUGGGCAUUUGCUCUCCUAGGAAAACAACUCCAAUCAGCACUCAGGAUGCUCAGAAUAUAAAUAGUAGCAGCCAGAAUUUGCUUGCAAUGGAACUGCACAAGUCCCUGACAUCAUUUUCCAGAUGUGAAGUUAGUAACAGUCAACAAAUUGAACAGCUGCUAUGAUGACAACUUUGUGUUUUUUCCACAGAUUUUGUGACAAGUUAGUAAAAGUUCACCCUUAUAUCCUCCAAAUUUUUUCAUUAAUGAGAGACUUUAGAAAUGUAAGGGAUGGUGUGAACAACUGGAAGACUAGAUUAGAAAAUGAAAGGGAAAUGGUAUUCAGCAAUUUGUAUGAUUUUUACACACCAAACAAUAGCAAUCUGUGAAAACAUACUUUAUGUAAUGCUACAGAAUAAUGCAAUAUUUCUGGUGGUUUAAGAACAUUCAAAUCACUUUUUAUUUAUGUGUAUACCCUUGAUUUUAUUUUCCUUAUCAUCAAAUGUUGAUGGGACUUGAAGCCAAGCCAAAUGAUGCUUAAUCCCUGCUUUGGCUGCUUUAUUUCUAAUAUCCCUUAGUCAGCUUCAGACGUUGGGGAAGGGAACCAGCUGUGUAUAAGAUGAUGCAGUAGCAGCUAGAGACAUACCACAAGUAGAAAAUGACUGUAUACAACUGUCCUGUGUGUGUGUGUGUGUGUGUGUAAUAGGUAUAGGCACUUAUUCUGGUGCUAACCAUGUCUUAUAAAGUAUAUUUGAUACUGAAGGAUUAAAGAUAGGCUUUCAGUACCAGUGCUUUCAAACUAAAAACAUCAUGCACUCAGAUGUGUUUUCAGAAAAAAAAGUUAUUUUUUCUAAAUAAAUAUUGAGAAAAUAGUGAUUCAAGUGAACAUGAGCUACCUAAUCCUAAACUAUAUUCCUAGAUUCUCAGUGUUUAGAACUUCACCUUCAGAAUCAUGAAUACAAAAAUACUUACAAAUGAAAUAGUUUGGGGUAUUCCACUAGACCCAAGGGAUAUAAAGUGAUCUAAGAUAUAAUUCUAAUCUUUCAGAGCAGUUUUGCUUUUAUUCAAGAUAAAAUAACAAUUCAAUACAACCUGUACAUUUUACAGAUGGAGAACAAGAAACAAAAGUUACCAUAAUAGGAAGUAAAGACUUAGUUCCAAAAGUCCUGGGAAAUGAAAGAACAUUUCUUAGGAGAAUUAUCUUCCAUGGAUUUAUGUAUUUUCAAUUUAAACACAGAAGACAUUUUUCUCAUCAGUUUAUAGGAGAUUGCAUUAAUUUUAUAACUGACUAUUGAGCUCCUACACAUCAGAUUUUGCCUUCAUUUUGCACAUAUAUUUGAAUAUUUUUUAAAAAGGAGAUAACAUAUCUUUUCCUAACUGAAAUUUUUAAAUUUGUCUUUGCAAAGUCAUCUCCUGACAGGAAAAGAAAACUAUGAGCUCAAGUCAAAUUGCCCAAAAACUUCAGAGUCCAGAUUUGGUUCUUCCGCUCUCAUCAGCAAAACAGCACUGGCUUUCAGAAGACUCUGGCCCAUGUAGGCCUCUUUAUUCUGCUUUGACCCAAUGGAAUGAAUGCUAUGACCUAUUUCAAUAUUUCUAAUAACAUGGAACAUUUUUCCACUCAGUGCAUGUAUUUUACUAAAAAUACAUAAAUUUAGCUUCCUUAAUAUUCAGAGGAUAAGAAAUGAGCCUCUCUGGAAAUAGUUAACAGAAGUUAGAUGUGCAGAGACAGUGUAGAGAUGGUAGCAGUUAAUUGAACUGAAAUGGUUCCCAUAGUAUUUGCUUUUUAUAGAGAUUUUUCAUCUAGUUACAAAAUGUAUAAAAAUCCCAGGACACAUAUAUUCAUGGUGCCCCUAUCUGUUCAAUUAAUUAAAAAUCAUUUCAAGAUUUUUUCUCUACUUUACUGCACAAGGGAAGGAAUUCAAAGGCAAGGAACAAUUUUAAGUCCAUUGGAAACAUAAAGUUGCAUGGGAAAUUACAUCACAAGAGAACAAUUGUUGCUGUUUAGUCAAAAGCUCAUUCUCUGCCAUAUGCUUACAGGCUGUUGCAUAUUUUUGAAAUUCCUGUUUUUAAAUUUUAUUUUAUAAUCAUCAGUACAGCUGGCGAUUUUGCUACAAGCACAGUUAAAAUGAAAUUAGAGACAUUCAAGCAUAGGGAUCCAUUGAGAAUCUCAGAGUUGGUAUGAAGAUUAUUUUGAACUGAUGAGAUUUGAGAUUAAACAAAUACAGAAAGAAGGCUUCUCAGGGCUUCCAUUAUCUGACAAAAAGCAGCAACUUCUGGAAAAUGAGGCUGCCAUAAAGUACUCCAAUGAGAGAGGCCAAGAUAAACCUGCCCUAAAUCCCCUCUCAGGGGAAGCUUCAUGGCCAUGAUGAACACAGUAAAACCACUCACACCUGCAUAAAAGAAUAUCACAAUUUUUUGUCUCCCAUUUGUUUGCCUAAAAAUUCGUUAAUUUUUCUUUAAGAAAACUUGUUUCUUGUUCCCAGAACAGUGUUAUCAUUUCUUUUCUUUCUCCUACUAAACUAUGAAUAUAAGCCUCUAACAUUAAGCAUUUAGUAAACUAGUUAGAUCUUCUGUUAGUUCCUGUAUAGAAAUGAACCUUUUUACUCCUGUUAAUCUAUCUUUUGUCAAUUACUUUGUAGACCUGCAGCAAAUUAACUCAAGAAGGUAGAAGAAAAUGUUUUCCUACCUGACACUAGAGAUGAGAGCACCUAGUAACAAUUCAAAUGUCAACUACAAGUCUAUUACAGAAAAUUAGCUUUGUUAAAAGCAAAAUCCAUUAAUGUGUUUCAUAUAUCAUAGUAUUCUUUAAUAACUUAAAUAAUCUUGAAUAAGUACCAAAAAAGCAUGCCUUCCUAUUUACAUCAAACAAAGGCUUAUCCAUAUAUUUCCAGAUUUUUUAAAAAUGGAAAACCAGCAUUCAUGGUCAGUAGUGUUUGUUAGUGAUAUUUAGCAUUCACUUUCUAUGAAAAUAAAUUUCAGAAAGAUAGAAAUUAAAUAAAUCUCCAAAUAUUUUUCAACAUAGUAAAUUGAAUUUGAGGCUAAAAACACAAUAUGUUAAACAUGUAAUUUGUUAGUUAUUAUCACUGUUAUAUGUUUAAGUAUGUCCCUGUAUGACUUUAUCUAGGAAUUUACUUUUUCCUUGUUUGUUUUUUUGAGACAGGGCCUUACUGUACUAACCAGGCUGGAGUGUACCAGUGCGAUCUCAGCUUACUCCAACCUCUGCCUUGUGGGUUCAAACAAUUCUCGUUCCUCAGCCUCCCAAGUAGCUGGGAUUACAGGUGUGGGCCAUGAUGCCUGGCUAAUUUUUGUAUUUUUAGUAUAGACGGAGUUUCUUUGUAUUGGCCAGGCUGGUCUCAAAGUCCUGAGCUUAAGUGACCCACUUGCCUCAGCCUUGGUGGGAUUAUAGGUAUGAGCCACUGCACCAAACCAGGACACUUUCAUUACUGCAGUAAAUUUAAAAGACAAUUUUCUGGUGACUCACACCUGUAAUCCCAGCACUUUGGGAGGCCGAGGCAGGUGGAUCACGAGUUCAAGAGAUCGAGACCAUCCUGAUCAACAUGGUGAAACCCCAUCUCUACUAAAAAUACAAAAAAUUAACUGGGCAUGGUGGCGAGUGCCUGUAAUCCCAGCUACUCAGGAGGCUGAGGCGGGAGAAUUGCCUGAACCCAGGAGGUGGAGGUUGCGGUGAGCCAAGAUCACGCCAUUGCACUCCAGCCUGGGUAACCAGAGCGAAACUCCAUCUCAAAAAAAAAAAAAAAAGUCAAUUUUCUUUUUUAAUGCAAACGUAUACCCACAAACUAUCUUAAUAUGGUCUCUGACUAUCACUGUCAAAGACAAAGUUCUCUUCUGAGUAGAAUAUUAUUCUAAUUCACAUAGCAUUUCUUAUGGCUUCAAUUUCUUAAUAUUGUAACUUCUUAAUAUUUUAUUGUAUUCACAGCAUGGAAGUCCUGGAUAAAGGAAAAGACAGUUACAUGCUAACAGUUAUUUCCUUUAUUUUAUGUACUAAGAAUCAAAAUGUCCAGGAGUUGAUCUAACAGAAAGAGUCAUUUACAACAAGAUGCUUCUUAAAGGCUACUUAUUCCUUCUCAAGAAGAUAGAUGCAUUGCCUGUAAAUAGAUGAGCAGCAAUUCCUGAGACUUACUAGCUUGCCUGGGUGGGUUGAAAAGACAUUAAGAGUAAUGGCAAAACAAAAAAUUUUUGCACCAAUCUAAUGAAUCCUUCAAGAAGCAUCCUAUCCGAGAUCCAGGUGUGGCAAGGUUUGAGUCCCUUGGACACUACAAUACUUCCAAUUUCCAGGGUGUGAUUUGGCUUCACUUUUUUAUUGCUGUUAACAGGUGGACAGAAAAAGAAUAGACAAACCAAUUUCAUGUUCCUUAUUUUCUAUGAGCUCCAGAGAGGGAACUUAAGGUCUACUAACAAGGGAUACCUUAAAAAUUUAGAAAAAAAAUGAAUAAAAGGAAGCCUACCUAUUUUGGACACAUUUUAUGGGUAGAAUAAUUACAACAGGGCAGAGAUAAUAUUUUUUACACUGCUGAACAGCAAGGGUAUGAUUUGUAAGCAGAUAGCUGAAGUACACAUUAUCUCAGUGGGCCUUAAAGUUAAUUAUCUGAAGAAUGUAAAUGAAUUCACAAAAGGAAAAAGAUAAAUCAUGAUUAAUGUAUUGGACAAUCCCUAAGAAGAACACAGGUCAUUAAAUGCAAACUUUGAUUCCAGUAAAAAUAUUCAUUUUUUCAGGAACAUAGAUAUUAGUGCAAAUAGCUUUUUAAAUAAUAUAUGCAGAUCCUUUCACUAAUUUAUUAUUCAAAAUUUGGGCAAUUUUAUAGAAAAUAAGCAUAAAAAAUAAUAAAAGGUCAUAGAAAAAUUUUGUCAUCAUGUUUCACUUACACAAAUUGCUAUACCUAAUCUAGGUUAUUAAACUAAAUUAUGUUGAUAGGUAAAUACGUAUUGAACCAUCAAAGUUACAGGCUCAUAUUCUUUGAUUUUGUAAAGAUUUUUGGAUCUAGGUAAGUAUCAUCCCUAUGAAACAGGCACAUUUAUCAUAUAAGCAUCUCAGAUGUGCUGUUUCUCCUCUUUGUUCUAACAAAUAUUGUAAUGAAAUUGUAUUUCACUGGCCUGAUUUCCUAACCUUGCCAGGCAAACUGAGCAGACACUUUGAUUUUACGGGAGAACUGAAGAUCAAAAGUCUUUUCUGACAUUUCUAGAAUAUCACAGUCCUAUGGACACACUAAAUAGAUAGUAUUUCAGUAUCAACUUUUUUUUUUUUUUUGAGACAGUCUUGUUCUGUUGCCAGGUGCCAGGCUGGAGUGCAGUGAUGCCAUCUCGGCUCACUGCAACCUCCGCCUCCCGGGUUCAAGUAAUUCUCCUGCCUCAGCCUCCAGAGUAGCUGGGACUACAGUUGCACACCACCACGUCCAGCUACUUUUGUAUGUUUUUAGUAGAGAUGGGGUUUCACAUUGUUGGCCAGAAUGGUCUUGAUCUCUUGACCUCGUGAUCCACCCACCUUGGCCUCCCAAAGUGUUGGGAUUGCAGGCGUGAGCCACCGCGCCCAGCCUCAGCUGCAUUUUUGAUAGAAAAUUUAAAUUUAAAGUAUACCAUAUCAAAGUUCCUGAUUCUUAAACUCCAAAAAAUAAAACACUUCUAAAGUGGAUUUUACUUAUGACAUAUAAUGUAUAAGGAAGAAAGAAAACAAAGAAUGUAAAGAAAUAAGAGGAAGAGUAAGAUGAAAGAAGGGGAAGAAAGAAAAGGGAGAGAGAGAAAAAAGGAGAGAAUUUUUAAAAGGAGGGAAAAAAGGCCAAGGAGAAGGAGGGAGAGAGAUAGAAAGAAAAAAAUACACAUGUUCAUUUGAUGAGAUGGUUUAAAUAAUUUUACUAUGCAGUUAUUUUAUCUUCUUAAUGCAGUAAAACAUUGAGAAAAAGAAUACAUUAAGACUUGAAAGCAAAAUGAGCUGGCAAGGCACAAUGGCACAUACCUGUAAUCCCAGCAUCUUGGGAUGCCAAGAUGGGCAGAUUAUGAGGUCAGGAGUUCAAGACCAAUCUGGCCAACAUAGUGAAACGCUGUCUCUACUAAAAAUAGAAAAAUUUAGCCAGGUGUAGUGGUAUGCACCUGUAAUCCCAGUUACUCGGGAGGCUGAGGCAGGAGAAUUAUGUGAACCUGGGAGGCAGAGGUUGCUGUGAGCCAAGACUGAGCCAUUCCACUCCAGCCCAGGCAACAGUGGGAGACUCUAUCUCAAAAAAAAAAAAAAAAAUGAGUUAACUCAACAUGGUCUUGCCUUAUUAAAGGGUUAAAUUCUAUUCCGACUCCUUUUUUCUGGCAUUAAACUCCAGAUUCUUGACUGUUUGCCCAGCAUCUUCCAGAGGCCUCUGCCUUUAUGAAGUGUUAAGAUGCAGUCCCACCUGACUGGCUCAUCACCCUGCCAUCCAUGCUGUGUGAAAAUAUUCAUCAAAGCCACAUUGCAGACAAAUUUACCUCUUGCUUAGAUUUUCUCUGAGUCAUAAGGAAACUAACGUCAAUGACAUCACUGGAGAAUGAAGACUUAUUACAUCAAACAUUUCAAUCAGAAUGUCAUAGGACUUCUAGUUAUGAUCAUCAUAGUCCAUGGAAUUUCUAAUUCAUCCCCAACAUCAAAUAUACUAUUCUUUUGUUUCCAUAAAUAUGUCUGUGCUCAGGAAGAAAAGCGUGAUUAUUCUUCUUAUGUUCUACAGAGUUCUAAACUAACUGAAUAAUGAUACAGAGUUUAAAAGUAGUAUAACAAGAGAUAACAAUAAAAUAAAAUAGAAACUAUCUGAUCAGAAUAGAAAAAAUACAUAUUACCAGACCUAAGAGAUUUGCUAAUUUUUACAAUUUGCCUCUAGAUUUGAUUUAAAUAUGCUGCUAACUAAAGUUAAAAAAUGAAAACAAAGUAUCUUAUAUAGUUUUAAUUUCAUUCAAUUUAAUUUGUGGAGAAUUAUAUUUCUGGGGUCCUCAGUGGUAAAAAAUUAUUUCAUUGUAUCUUUGUUAAGAAGAGAAUGUUAUUCAAAUUGACAUUUUAAAACAGAGAAUUUCUAUACAUGUUGAAAGCAUAGCAGAUAUGAAGAUACUUCUACAGGUAGGAAUUGUGACAACUUUGCAUGUGUACUUUUGCUGGCAAUCUAAUUUAAUAUACAGACAAAAUGUGUUUAUUUUAAUAUAGAGAAAUGGAUGGAUAAAUGCCCAUUACACCAUCUCUCAAAUAUUAAAUUUAUUCCAUUAUUAAACACCUUUAUUUGAUGGGAACUUGGUAUCAUGAAAUUCACGACUGCAUUUUUAAAUGUGCUCCUAAUGUAGACACUCUGAGCCACUAUGUAAAGUGAGAAGCAUAUGCUUUAGCUAUGAGAGGAAGGCUGAAUUUUCAUGCUGUGGAAGUUUAACUGCCAAACUGAUAUUCUCACCCAGAUACGUUGUUAGGAAAUGCCUGGAAAAUAAUUGUUCUAUAGACAUUAGCUGAGUCUAAGGCUGAGGCAGCCUAACACACUGACCAUUGGCCUGUGGGCCUCAGGGGAGUCAAACAAAAUAAUUUUGGUAACCUAUUCUGAGCGUCCCCAAGAAGGACUAUACAUCCAGCAGACCCCCAUUAGUCUCUAAAUCUGCACUGUGGAACCACCUUUCAUAAGGCUCUUUGGUAUGUCAGAAAUAAACCAGGUAUGCAAUCCACAGCUGACACCAAUGGUAUGAAUGCAGAUUUUCAUGGGUAAUUCACGUCUUUAUUGCUCAGAAACAGAAGUACCUUAACAUUAUGAAGACAUGAAAUGUGGUAGAAGUAGUUACUCUCCUCAUUAUUUCAACAGAACGAAGGCAUGAAAUAUGGCUUUCACUUGAUCACUGUUUAUUACCAAACAAUUAUGGCCAGGAAACAUAUUAUUGCUUAAAUAACAGUCUGCACUACGUAAAACCUGGAUUUUCAGUACAACUUUUCUGAAUCAAGAUAAAUCUUGGGAUCCCUGAACUUUGAGAGAAGGUUGUUUGGAGUCUUAAGAAGCAUUUGGAACAUGUGGAGCUGUUCUUUCUUAAACUGGGAAUGACUUAUGAAUUAUAAGAUAUUGUGAAUUAAAUGUAAUUUGUUUGAAUAUAAUUUUUGAUUAUUUUUCUCAAAUAUUUUAUGUCCUCUCAGAUUCCAAAUCUGGUACCAGGCUUUUAAGGGGAUGUCUUAGAUAUAAUAUUAGCUGCAUAAUUGCCUAGUUCCUUGUUGGAUUCUUGAUUACAUAAUCUCCACUGACCAUUUAGUUGAAAUUACAGUGCUGGAAAAUUCUCACUUUAUUCACUUACACUUUAUCCUCCCGAUGACAUAAAUUUGUAGUCAUUUUAUAACUUUUCUUAAGUUAAAUUUCAAAUGCUUUAAUCUAAUCUGGAGGUCCUACUUUGCUAUUUCUGUUUUAACAAUAAAUAAUAGAUAAAAUGUAAUAUUCCAAGAAGAUAUUUACAUUGCUCCUUGGGUAUAUUUACUAGUGUUUCUAGAAACCCAUCUGUACAUUUAUUUCAAUUCUCUCAUUAGUGCCACUGGUAAAACCCAGAGCAAAAAAAUGACAUGCAGCAUAACCUUGAUUUUUGUAGCAUCCUGGUUUCUCUUUGCAAAAAAAUCUGAUCAUGAUUCUGUCUUUUGAAGUGAGCUGUGGAGCCAUUUAGAUAAUUUUCAGAUAUUACACUGAAAAUAUUGAAUAAAUUUAUGUUACAUAUAUGAAUUAUGGAAGAUUAUAAAAUAAAUACACUUGACAUUCUUUCUCCUGACAAUAAAGCCUUUAGAAGUCAUUAAAAAGAGCUUUGUUUGUGAGUUGAACAUUUAACGGAAAUUAAUCAGUCAACCACUCCCAACAAUGUAUUUCACUUUUCUUAUUAAACUUUUUGUUUCUUUGUUAUUUAUUCAUUACUGUUUUAACCUUGACACAUCUGUGAAUCCAUCUGAAAAAUUAUCUUGACCAAUAACUGAUAAGAUGUUUUCUUAACAUGUCGCUUCAGGGAGACAGCUUGUAUAAUAUUAAAAGUGAGUCCUGUAUCACAUUUUCACAGUUAAAUAUAAAAUUUGUUAAAUAUAAAGUAUGUUCAUUAUUUAAGUAUUUAUAAUUGAAAUUACUACAUCAUUAUUACCAUAAUGCUGGAAAUAGAAUCUGACUUGAAUAAAUUUUAUUUUUUGAAAUGUAUAAUAUUAAGAAAGAAAAUAACAUUGUAUAUAGUUCUCUGGUGCUAAUUUAAAAAAUAUACCUGUCUCUAACAACAUUAAACCCAUGUUAACAAAUUACAAAGGUUAAAAAGCUUAGAUUUUAAACAUUUCAAAAUAUCAUAACAUAAAAUCUUUAGUUAUAAAAAUUCUCGAUUUGUUCGUAAGUGGCUUCUGGCAAACUCUAAUAAUAUCUUUCUCUUUUCGUUUCAAGAAAGAAAGGCUAUUUUUCAUCGGAAUAUGGCCGGAUAAAUGCAAACAAAAUGUCUCCUCCAUCAUGAUGCAAGGGAUACAGUAAAACUAAUUUUGACUUCAGGCUCUAUGAAGUAAAGUUGGUCCAUUCAUUCUGUGUAAAGAAUUUGGCACUCCAAAUUUUCCCUUACUUAAUUUUAAGAGACAAAGAAGGGGAGGGGCAAUUAUAGCAUUACUAUUUUACUCUAGCUACUGAAAUUAUAAUGUAUUUUACUAUAAAAACCAUUAUCCUCAAAAUAGCUCUCAGCCAAGCAAGGCAAAAAAAAAAAAAAUGUGUAAAGUGCUAAGAGUAUAGAACUCUGGAUCCAACAGAGAGCCCAAAUUACUUUCAAGCACAUAUGUAAUUUUUAAAAGAUGAAUGGGCUAAACUUUCUACUCUAAAACAACUAAUAUUUCUUGAUAACAUUUUAAGAAAUUUUUCUAAAUGCAUUACAGAGCUUGAACUAAAACAAGGAAAAAUGUCAAAGGCCAAAAGUGUGAUUUGAAAAGUGUGCAUCUAGUGGGGCUGUCUUCUAGAGAACCCUGACUAAUACAAAUACACUUGUUUUGAUUUACUACUGAGUCAAGAGCAAGUAGAGCAAAGGAUAUAGAUAUCACUCACACCUCUCGCCUCUUGAAAACAGAAAGAAAAAGUAACCCUAGUACAUCAAUAGAGUUUAAUCAAACUUUGAAAAGCAACACUCUCAUAUAUCAUGCAAGUGAUAGUGUGAAUGUUUGAGGAAGGACAAGCGGAUCCUGCCAUAAGCAAAAGGAAUGAGCACAAAGACAAAAGCAAAAUAUCCUGGAAGCGAUUCAAAUUUCUUAAUGGACCAUUAGCAAACACACAGUGAGGUAAAGCUCUGGAUUUGGUUGGAUGGCACCAUUUUGAUCAGUGGCUGACAUCAAACAGUGAGAUCGAUUUGGCUUACAGCGCAACAGAGCACAUUGAUUGGACCUUUUUUAUUUAUUUGUCCCCUUAUAACUCGUUCUUUGCCUUGAUAUGGACAAUCUCUGCAAGAUAUAAAAGGGCUCAGUCUCUGAUCCUUUAAAAAAGAUGCUUUGCUACUGGAAAAGUGGUGUGGUGUUGAGGUAGAGGCAGUGUUGAUGAAAGUCAGCAUCACUUUAUAAUUGCACUAAAUAUAAAACUUUUGUACUUCUGUUAGUAAAGACAUUGUGCCCCUUCAAUGCAAACAAUAAGCUUUGGGACAUGAGCAAGAGCAAAUAUCAUUAAGUAUUUUAUUCACUGUGUUGAAUCCAUUAUAGAUGACACCUGAAAGAAAAGCAUUAAAUAUGAUGCCACCUCACAAGGAUCCUGUAAUUUUAAUGUAUUAGACCUCAUGGUAUCUCAUUAGGUAUAAUUUUGACUGCAAGCACAGCAUUAAUGUUGUAAUAGCCAUUUGGUUUGCCUUAUAGGCAGCUACUGAGGAACAGGAAUUACCUAAUAAAAUUUAUCAGAUUGAAUUCCAAAAUCUGAUAAUGUGAGUUGAUCUAAUUAUCUUUCUUCCACCUCUCUCCAACAAAGCUGUAUCUAAUGAUAGCAAAAGCAUUGUAAAGGCAUUUUUGCAUUGUUUGAAGGAGGCAAGCCUUCUGAAACUCCUUCAUUAUGGAGAAGGGGAGAAGAGAAGCUGCCACAGGCCAUAGGAGGUACGGGGUUAAGGAAGAAGAGACUGGUACUGUUUUUUCUAUAAGCAGAAUGGUAAUAUUUAUUUUCUUACUAAGCUUGAUCCUAGAAUUGAUCGAUAUUUAAAUUGCUGAGUGAAGGAGGCAUAUGGAAAAAUAUCAUAAUCAAUAUUGCCUAGUUAGUUGAAAUAGAAACUGUCAAAGGAUUUUGAAUUACCAUAAGAUGAUGAAAAUUGAGUAUUCUUUCCCUCUUAAUAUACUGGCCAUAGGAAAUUUAAGAAUCACAACUCAAGAGGCCAUCUAAGUCCUAAAAUUUAUUCAUACCACUAAGAAAGAAAAAGAGAUUAUUAACUGAAUGGAAAAAUACUUCAAAAGAUUUCCUCAAUCUCAUCCCUUUAAUCUUACAAAAGAGAGAGAGAGAGAGAGAGAGAGAGAGAGAGAGAGAGAGGUCUCCCCUAGAUCAAACUAUUACUACCCUUCUUCUCUUCUCAAUACAAAGCAGAGCCUAGUAGUCUGGACUUCCUCAGAUGAAAUUUAUCCAUUAUCCUACUCCAGGUAGUUUCCUCUUCUCCUUUUUAAUAAAAGUACUCCUGCCAGCGUCACUAACUACCUCCUAUUUUGCAAAUUCUGUGACUGUCUCAAGCCUAAUGUUACUUUCAUCAGCAACAUUUCACAUGAUUAAGCCUUCUAUCCUACUUGAACUCUUUCCUAUUAUGACUUCCACAUCCAGACACUGCUGGUUUUGUGUUUUUAUUUUGUUCCGUGUGCUUGUUUGUUUUCUCACUUCUGCAUUUCUUCACAUUCAUUCUUUAACCCUGUUUUAGUUUUUUAUAACUCCAAACUUCCCUUCAAAGCCGGGACUUCUCAACUUCUUUUUUUCUUUCAUCUAUCUCUUGUGUUAUCUUUUCCCUGUGGUUUCCCCUAGGUGAUGGUAAGUACAAGCAUAUCCACAAAGAUUCCCCUCACAUACUGCCAAAUCACAAUAUCCAAAGUACAUUCGGUACACUUCCUCUGAAACUUACACUGCCUAGAAUUUGCUCUCUCAAUUUCCCAACCAGAAAACCAAGAAUUAUCCUGAAAAUACAACUAAAAUAUCAGUAUACAUAUUAAGUAUUUUAUCUAGAAGCUGUGUUUUCACAUUUCUCUUUAAACUACUAGUUAGUAGUACUGCAAUCACAGUAACAGUAGCUAAAAAUAAUUUUGCCUUUCAAGGAAGAAGAUACUGACUAGAUUGUCUAGUGAAAAGUAGUAAUUAAAAAUAUUGCUGUACUUUUGAUCUUUAAGUAUGCAAAUUAAACUUAAAAGUACAGAAAAUUAGGGUUGAAAUAUGCACCUAUUCCUUUAAAAGGAAAAACCUUCACUCUAUGGACCAAAAAAAAGUUACUGUGUAAAGAGAAGAUUGAUUUCACUUCACAUGACUGAUUUGUCUAGAGCAUGAAGAUUUAUUAUCAUAAGAAGUUAUUAUUUCAGGAAACUAAAGAUAAAAUCAAUACUUUGGAGAUCAUUAAAUCUUGGCAUGAAUUGAGCACUGAAGGCAAGAUAUUUUACUGUGACAUGAAGAUAUUUAUAUUUUAUGAAUUCUGAGGUCAUUUUGCUGGCACAUUUAAUUUUGGCCUAAAUAAAGGCAAAAAAAAUUAUCAUUUUGGAUUAUCUCUGCUCAAUGUUGUAACAAUAUGUGCUACUCUACAUUUAAUUAUAAAGUUUUGUUUUGCUGUAUAAUUGUGAUUAAUAAAACAAGGGCAUAUGAGAAAUGAAGUAAUAAAAGUUUAUAGUCAAUAUAAUUAUUCUAGAACAAAAAUCGUUUCAUUCAAACAAAGUAUAAAAGAGUUUGACAAAAGAUCGAAAGUUAAGGUAAUUCAUGUUUAAGACUGCUGUUUUAAAUGUAAAUACAAGUGAGCUAUUUUUUCUUUAUGAGUAACUAAUAAUGAAAAUACCAGGUCAUUUAUUUCUUAAAUUUUAUUCUUUUCAUAUAUGAUACCCAGCUAUUAACGGCUUUCAAAACAGAUUUCAAUAAAUCAGCAUCCAAAUGAGUCUAAAACAUUCUUAAAAUACUAAAACUACACUCUCUCCAAGGGUAGUGUAUUUUCUUUUGCAAUAUGAAUUCUAUCUUCUGGAACAUUCAAUAAAUAAAUGGCCACUCUCAGGUCCACCGUGCAGAGAAAAUCAAAGAUAGGCCAGAGGGUCUUUAUGGGGAAUAAGUAAAAACAGACCAAAUGACGAAGUUCUGUAUUGCCAAGCACAUGUAUAAUGUUUUAUGUAUUUCCCUCUCUCCUUCGUUUCCUUCCUUUCUUCUUCCUUCCUUCAUGCUUUCCUCCCUUCUUUCCUAUUUUGUUGUUCUAUCUUCUCCCCUCCUCCUUUUUCUCCUUUCCCUUUCUCUUCUGCUCUUCUUCUCUCUCCUUUUAUCAAAAGUGUCAGGAAGACCAGCAUGAAAUAUCUUUAACUUUUAACAAUCACCUUUAACAAAACAUGUUCAUUAGCAUUAUCUUUGAGCAAUAAUACUUGAUAAGUCUAAGUGAGUUUGUGUUUUUAACUUGAUCAGAGAAGUAAUACUUUUACAGUUAAGAUGUUGGCAACAAAAGCACACCUCAGUAAAAAGUUCCAGAAAUACAGGCACUCGUGUAAAAGCAAGAUUUGAGACAUGUGGAUGUGGUGAGCCAAUGUAAAACAUAAGCAAUGUUAUAAGGGUUGAAUUCAUAAGAGUAUGUAGUCUAAAACAAUUUAAAUCUGUAUUAUUAAUUAUAUUACCCAUAAUAAAAUUGGCUUACACGUCUAAUAAAAUAUGUAAAGGGGAGGUUAAAUAGUUGAUAACAGAAAUAAUUAAAAGUCUAUGGAAAGAGUCAAAAUUAAUGAAUAUUCUAGGCUAAAAUUAAAAAUAUCAAAUAUAGGCGAAGUAAGUCAAAACUGGAGAGUAAAGGGAUAUAGUAAAUAUGUAAAUAAAUAUUAUUUCUCUAAGCUUUAAUAGUGUGGAGAAAAUCACAUAAAGGAUCCACAUUAUUUUUAAAAUCUGGUUGGCACUGUGUUUGCAAGGAUGUUAAACAAAUGGUCCUAAUGUAUUCUUACAUUUAGUCCAAUUUAUGACAGAAUUUGAACUAAAUAUAGAUUCUCUUUAUAGUAAUACCUCAAUUGUAUUUGUUAUGCUGACUUGAAACAUAUGAAUUAUUAAUUUUAUGUAAAAUAAUUCAUAGAAACAGGUUAGGAAACAAGCUGUUAAAAAUUAGCAUUAAGAACAUUCUAAAAAUUAUUUUAUUUUCCUAUACUUUUCAUGAAAUGUGAACCCAAGUGAUUUAAAUUCACUUAUUAGAAAUCCAUUGUCUUUAAAAAGGGGAAGAAAAGAGGAUAUUUUUACAUGCUGACCGUAAUAACUUAUUCUUAAAUACUUCUGAGAUUAUAUGGUGAGAUAAUAAAUGUGUUCACCACAAAAUCAUUCCUAAACGCAGCUGUAAUAUGUCAAGAAUUAUCUAAUACAAGUGAAUUUAUUGAAGUUUAAAUGUAGAAAUAACAGCUGGUUCAACAUCUAAAAAAUAAUUAAUUACCAGCAUAAAUACUAUGACUAAAUGAUCAUUUGUAAUUUACAGUGAUCAAAUGAUUAAAGAUACAUGUUUUUAAAAAUAGGAAUACCCCAAAAUUACAGGUCAUUCUUAACUUUAAUGUAUCUGUUCAUAUAAAAAUAUUUGCAAUUAGAUCAAUGACAUAUUGUUAAACCCAUAAAUUGGUCAUGUAUUGCAUAAGAAUAUUAAUCUUUUUUAUAUUAACACUUUCAAAUCUGUUCUAAAAAUGUAACUAUUUUAUUUCAAACAAAUACCAUUUGCUUGCCUAAUGAGCAUUCUUAAGCAUCUGAUUGACCUGCCUAUUAUAAUUUAUGAAUUCAUAUGCUGGAAAUUUUUUCAACUAACAUAAUUGAAUUCUGUUUGAUACUCCAUGUUCAGUCUGCAUCCUGAGUAAAGUAUUUUUUCUGAAUAUUAAUAUAUCAUCUAAAAUGAAAGGUAAGAAUUCUGGGGUCAAUUAUAAUUUCUUACCUGAAUAAACAACCACACUAAAAUAUAUUUCUUCAUAAAUCUAAGUUAUUUCUAAUCAUAAUCUGAAUUAUCAUCAUUGUUUUAUUAUCUCACCAAGAAAACAGGAAUUAUAAGCAUAGCUUGGCUUACAGGUCAGACAUCAUUACUCUCACUUUGGUUUAUUUGUAAAGCACUAUCAAGUUAUAUCUGUAUUUGUGACUCAGCUUUUCUCUUUUUUCCCUACUUUCAUUUCAGGUUCAGGGAAUACCCAUAUGGGUCUGUUACAUGGGUCAACUACACGUUGCUGAGGUUUAAGUGAUGCUGAUUGAGUGGUAAUGCUGGAGUAUUUAAAAUUCAGCUCAAGUUCCUUCACUAGGGAGGCAUCAUUGAGUUCACCUUUCUUUGACAAUGUUGAUAAAUUUGCAUUAACUUUGUUUUUACAUUUUUAUCCUCACCCUCUAGCAAAUUAUAGAAUAAUUUUGCAAUGAUGCUUGUUAGUAGAACUCUGGCCAGAAUGAAGGAUAGUUUAUAGACACUCAGGAGAUAGUAUCUGUGACUUUGGCCUCAUUAAAAUGAGAUUUGAAACAAGUACAAAGAAAAGAGGGGCAGGAACAUUGAUUUUCUUGAACUUUAAAUUUCCAAAGUAUUUAUGGUUACCCAAGGUAUUAAAGACAGAGCUUUUAGUAGAUUGAAGUCGUUGUUAGCAAUGCAAAUUAGAAAAAAGCUGUUCUGAUACAAGGUAUUCAGCAUAGCCUACUGUGUGCUCCAAACACGGGUAUUUGGAUUCAGCUACAAUUGAAAUCCACAUUGCAGAAUUCUAGAGCAGGAAAAAAAUAUCUGACAUGGGUUGAUGGAUUUUGCUAAUCAGGGUUGACCAACUCACUUUCUGAAGACAAGGUGAAUGAAGCAUAUUUAUACGCAGGGAUAACAUCAAAUCAGACAUCUGUAUGUGUGUGUUUGAUCACUUCUAUUAGUCCAUUCUCACACUGCUAUAAAGAACUAUGUGAAACUGGGUAAUGUGUGAAGAAAAGAGGUUUAAUUGACUCACAGUUCCGCAAGCUGUACAAGAAGCAUGGCUGGGAGACCUCAAGAAAUUUACAAUCAUGGUGCAAGGCGAAGGGGAAGCAAGCACUUCUUACCAUGGCAGAACAGAAAAGAGAGAAUGCCAAGAAGUAAGGGCUAUGUACUUUAAAACAACCAGAUGUCUUGAGAACUCUAUUACUAUCCCCAGAACAGCAAGGGGGAAAUCUGCCCCCAUGAUUCAGUCACCUCCCACCAGGUCCCUCCCCCAAUACUAGGAAUUACAAUGUGACAUGAGAUUUGGGUGGGGACUCAGAACUAAACCAUAUUAUCACCCCUUCCAGCUUAACUCAGAAAACAUCCAAAGAUGUAGUCUUCAUCUGUCUCAUGUAACCAAUGCUGUAGCCAUGGAAACAGUGUGGCAGAAGUGCAACAGCAGAGGUUAGGGACCCCAGCUCUAAAGCCAGAUUUGUAGUUUUCAGGCUCAUUUCACCACUUACUCACUAUGCAGACUUCUAAGUCACUUUACUAUACUGGGGCUCAAUUUCCCCAUUUGCAAAAUUGGGAUAAUAAUGCUGCCUCUAGCAUGAUGUGUUUAAGAAGAUUAAAUACAUUAAUUCAGGGUAGGUUUUUAAAACAGUACUUGAUACAAAAUACUCAAGCAAUAUACAUUAUUAUGAUCACUUCAGAGAGGUUCAGUUCUAUUAUUCUUGUAAAUACUCAGUUCUCUCUCUACUUGCCUAAAAUCUGUUUAUGUUUAAAGCUUUUAUGAGAGAUAUUGGCUAAAUAUUCUUUUCACCCCCAGUUCUUUCAGUGUUACUGAUAAGUAGUUAAGUAAACUCUUUACAUAGUUUAUGAAAUUCUUUAUGACAGAUGAAACAGACAAUGUUGGAAAAAUUAUGAAUUUCUUCUGAAGUAUGCUCUUGAAAUGCUACUUCAUUUAGCCUCAAAUUCAAAAACAAUAACUUCAUUCUAUCAGAUAAUCUGAUAAUGUACACUAGUCCAAAGUACGGCUUAAUUGUCCAUUUUCAAAGAACAUAAGAUUCCUUACUUCAUUUAUACACAAUUUCUUUGACUUUCCACUAUUCGCAAGGUACAGUACUACUAGUUAUACAUGGUAUAGAAAAGGUUUAUAGUAUAAGUACAAAAUAAAAUGAAAACUGAUCAGAGCCUUAGAAUUACACAUAGCAACCAAAGAUGUGGCAGACAGACACUAUCUGCCUUCAUAUCCACCUUCAAUCAUUGAAGACCGCCUUCAAUGUUUUUCUGCUGCUGGUUUCAUGUCCUGGUGAAUUUUUCCCCCCCACACUAAAUGUGCACAGGACUUGCAGCUUGUUGUAACCAGUAAAAGAUGGCAAAGUUAUGUGAUGUAGCUUCCAUGAUUGCAUUACAUAUAAUUAUAACCUCUCUCCUGCUGGGAGACUCUUUAGCAAGGCCCACCCUUAUUGGCUUUGAUGGCAAAGGCCCUAUGAAGGUAAGGAGCAAUGGGCAGCUUCUAACCAACAGCCAAAAAGAAGCUGAGGCUUUCAGUCCCACAAUCUGCAGAAACUGAAUCUUCCUAAAACCUCAGUCAGUUUGGAUUCUUAACUGAUUGAGCCCCCGGUGAGACUCCAAGUAGGUCCAUUAUCUUCACUGCAGCCAGAGAGGUACACUGAAGCAAAGGAUUCAUUCUUAUUCCUGACCACAGAAACUUGCAUAAUAAAUGUGUGCAGUGUUAGGCCACUCUUUGUGAUAAUUUGUUACAGAGUAAUAGAAAGCAAAUAUAAAUUUGAAAGAGCUUACAAUCCAUGUUAUUGCUUUCCCAGGUGCUAUGAUAUAGUAUUAUUACAUAAUCAAAUAAGAUAUAGGACAUUUUCCUCAAUGUAUAGUUUUAUUUCAUAUUGAAUUAAGUCUCAGAACCUUAGAAGUCUUCUCUAUGUGUCUGCUAAACCACAUCCUCCAUUUUUCUUAAAUAAUAAUAGCCAUUCUUUUUAUUUUUCUUACAGUUCUAUUGGCCAUGCAUGCAUCUCCAGCGUAAUUUAUAGAAGUUUAAAAAAAAACUUCACAACUUCAUCAUGCUUUCUAUCUGCUUGUGACUUGCUUCUUUUUUUUUUUUUUUUUUUUAUGUUAUGUUUGUGAAUCCCAUCCAUCUUGACUAGUGUAGCUAUAUCGGGUUUUUUUGUGUUAUGUCAGUCCAUUGUAUAAACCUAUCAAUUUGUCCUUCCAAAUACAACUGGAGAUUCUGCCUCUUUCCCGCAGCAACUCAAAGACACAAUGCUUGUACUAUAAGCACUGUUGUGCCUGUCUCCUGGUGCGUAUUUUCACAUGUGAAGUUCCUCAGUGACAGGGAUGUGCAUUUCAGCUUAAGUAGGUAACACCAAGCUGUUUUCCAAAGUGACAGUGCAAGCAAUGUAUGACAUUCAUGCUUCACCAUAUUGUUACCAAUACAUGGUGUUGUCAAAUUUCAGUUUUGCCAAUGUAUUGGGUAUAUAACAGUAUCAAAUCAUGAUUUCACUUUCCUAAUUACUAAAAAGGUUAUUUUUCAAUAUUUUAUUGAUAUGUGGAUUUUCAC
Molecule: long non-coding RNA, 21770 nt
Organism: Callithrix jacchus (white-tufted-ear marmoset)
Lineage: Eukaryota; Metazoa; Chordata; Mammalia; Primates; Cebidae
Source: RefSeq, a predicted model, not a curated record